This 497-nucleotide ribosomal RNA is filed under the name uncultured bacterium. RNAcentral's name for it is "partial 16S ribosomal RNA". It matches the Rfam family "Bacterial small subunit ribosomal RNA", at positions 28 to 507 of the family's 1533-position model. The record is from RNAcentral.
GAUGAACGCUGGCGGCGUGCCUAAUACAUGCAAGUAGAACGCUGAAGGAAGGAGCUUGCUCUUUCCGGAUGAGUUGCGAACGGGUGAGUAACGCGUAGGUAACCUGCCUGGUAGCGGGGGAUAACUAUUGGAAACGAUAGCUAAUACCGCAUAACAGUAGAUGUUGCAUGAUAUCUACUUAAAAGGUGCAAUUGCACCACUACCAGAGGGACCUGCGUUGUAUUAGCUAGUUGGUGAGGUAACGGCUCACCAAGGCGACGAUACAUAGCCGACCUGAGAGGGUGAUCGGCCACCCUGGGACUGAGACACGGCCCAGACUCCUUCGGGAGGCAGCCGUAGGGAAUCUUCGGCAAUGGACGGAAGUCUGACCGAGCAACGCCGCGUGAGUGAAGAAGGUUUUCGAAUCGUAAAGCUCUGUUGUAAGAGAAGAACGAGUGUGAGAGUGGAAAGUUCACACUGUGACGUUAUCUUAACAGAAAGGGACGGCUAACUACGUG